GCAGUCCCACUUUCAAGCAAUUAAGCAGACUGGCGAUCCGGUCAUUUGAUUGUAACAUCAUUGCAAUCACAUGGCCUAAGAGGGCCGUGUUUGCUGCAGGGGGACUGUAUGACUAUCCGCUGGGAAUGCUAUGCUGCCCUGCAGUGUUAAAGACCACAUUUUUCAGGAAGACAUAGCACGCCCAACGUCCCUAAGGGGUUAAUUGUGGUUUUGAACGCCAAAUAACUACAAAAAGUAUAUACUUUUCUAAAGAAGACGUACCAGGAUUUUCAAAGGGGCAUAUUUAAAACCUUUUUUUGUGU
Pelobates cultripes (western spadefoot toad) is the source of this 302-nucleotide non-coding RNA. The record is from the annotation of a GenBank genome assembly. Lineage: Eukaryota; Metazoa; Chordata; Amphibia; Anura; Pelobatidae.